Camellia sinensis is the source of this 365-nucleotide non-coding RNA. Lineage: Eukaryota; Viridiplantae; Streptophyta; Magnoliopsida; Ericales; Theaceae. The record is from RefSeq and is a predicted model, not a curated record.
UCUCUCUCUCUCGACAUUUGCCCCCUUUUUCUUUUGUUUUUGGUACCAAACCAACACAUUUUAACAACUCUGUUCUCUCUCUGAGUUGAAUCACAGAUUUGUAAGAGUUUGACCUCUUCGAUCUCUCAAUCAUGCCGAGCAUCAUCAGCAAUGAACUCAAGAUACCAAAUCCAUCAAGAUCAGCGACAUCAGAGCCAAUGGCGACUCCACUCUUCGGAAGCGAAGAUUGAGAUCCGAUUCGGCUGCAGAAGACGGAACAAAGUCUAAAUCUCCUCGUCGAUGCAUCAAUGGCGGCCUCAAUUGCACUGAAAAUGGAAUUAUUGAAAAAGAAUCGGGUGAUAAUAAGGUUGUCAAAUCUCGCGAAU